Molecule: long non-coding RNA, 2445 nt
Filed under: Homo sapiens (human)
Lineage: Eukaryota; Metazoa; Chordata; Mammalia; Primates; Hominidae
Description: EDNRB antisense RNA 1 (EDNRB-AS1)
Source: RNAcentral
GCAGAAGGGAUGGAGACACUUGCUGAGCCUAUAGUAGUAGUUCUUAACUUUGACUGUUCCAUCAGAAUCAAACGGAAUUGACCAGCUGACCAGCUGGCUAAGUACCCAAAUGUGUGUGGUGAGGGUGAGACUUAAAAACAGAGCUCAACAUCUGAAAUCUAGAAAAAUUUGGUGCCAGUGUUCUUCAUACGAAGUUAGUGAUGCGCUGCCAGUAUUGCAACAGCAUCCUCCUGGGACACAUUUCUAAUGAUGGACAGUCUGUAUCUGCCUCCUGCCAGCUGCAUUGCAAACAUAAUAUGCUCUUUGCAGUUUCAAUCAAAAUGAAAUUCUUCAUGGAAAACUGUACUGUAACUGGAAGUAUUUGAAAAUCAAAUGCUUCACAGCAGGAACUGUUUCUGGCAGCUUGGUGAACCAAGAAAGGCAAUAUUCUUCUGGGAAACAUUGCCUUGAGAGACACAACAUGAAUUACAACAUCAUGAUGUAUUCAGCCAGAUGUCUGCAAGACAGAAAAUCACGUGACUGAGCAAGGCAUGUGAAUGUUCUUAAAGGGGGAGAAAUAGAAAAGAAAAACCAAACAUGCAUCAGAUAUUUCCUUUUUGCAUCACAUUAUUCCCAAUCAUAUGGAUGCCUUAUGUUUAUAACUUGCCAAUUAUGAAUUUCCCCUCAUGUAUAUUAAACUUAAGGAUCACUAUAAUUUUAAUCUUGUUAACAAAUUUGCUGUUUGUCUAUAUCUAUUUAGGAGAUUAGCAUCCAGGGCUCAUUAGGUAUCUGUUAGGAUGGUUGUUAGGGCAUAGUGAGAAAUUAUUUUUUGGCACUCACAACAAAUGUAUAUGGAUAUACAUUUAGUUUCUUGGGAUCCUAGUCCAUGUAUUUGAAAAGUAUAUGUACUUGACGAUCCUGAGCAAAACUGGAAUCAUUUGAAUUAAUUCAUCUUUUUUUUUCACAAUUGGCAAUCUCACGCUCAGUAUAUUAAUACAUAUUCACUAAAUAAUCAUAGUGUAGUUUGUAGUUUCUCAGUUGCACAGAAAUGGUUGGGUUCUUUCAGGGAUCCUUACUUGAAGAUAAGGAUCAGAGCACUAUUAAGGAAAGGGAGGAUAAUCCUGAAGUGUGGGAGGGGAUGGUCAUGGAUUUACCUAUUUUUACUAUUUGUUUUAUUUACUCUAUUUCUAACAACCCAAUCACUUCUCCAGUGGCAAAGGCCUUUGGCAUUUGGUAGGCACCCAAUGCAUAAUUGCUGAUGAAAGAAUGAAUUCUAUUGCCAGGGCAUCCAUUUCAUUUUCUCUGCAGCCACACCAUCAGCAUGGCAACUGCCCCGACAGCACAUUCUUUUCAUGAUUGUUUUAAAUUUCUUAUGCUAUUUUCCGUAAGGUAGUGGUCUAUAUAAUUUUUAGUCAUGCACUCCUAUUAAUUAAGUUUUGUGCAUGUAGUCUCUAAAUACAUAUUUUACAAAUAAGAUAUUCUGUUGCUUUAUAAAAUAUAGUUAAUCAGAAGAAUGAGAUUGUUAAUAACAAUUCUAAUAAUUAUUUCUCCAUUUUCAUGGACUGUCUUGCUAACCUUCCUUGUACACUGUAUUCUGGAGAACCUUGGCUGUUGAAAGCAUAAAGGAAGAAGAAUGCAGUUUUUGCCUUGGGGAGCUUACAUCUUAUCUGGUAUACCAGAUAAACACAAUGAAGGACAACACAACGGUAAACAAGGUAUGGCUAUCAGAAGAAUCAAGAUGAAUGAGCGUCCAGACCAUUGAAGGGAAAGAAGUCUGGCUGAUGAAAAUGAGCUCUGCACUGAAUCCAGGCCAUGUUUUGAGGUUUCCAUUGUUUUUGGCUCAGCCUAGAAAUUGGAUUAUUGCUCUUCAUACCACUGGAGGCCUGCAGCCCAACCUCUGACCCAAGCUAUCACAGAAAACAGGGAAACACAAACUGAAAAUUAUAACAAUGCUCUUCAAGCUCAACAGAGAGAUAGUCAGACACGUAAUCACCACGGAGAGAUUACAGUUUUCUAGUCUACACUUUUGAAGGGAAAGAGACUGCAAAAAAAAAAAAAAAAAAAAAAAGAGAGAGAGAGCAUUAACCUUUAUCAGCUUUCAGCAUUUCAUGCUUUCAAUUUAGAACUGGAUGCUAUUGGCUCUGGAAGGCCAUAGAAGAUGUGGGAAGAGCAUGCACUGUUGCUUCCAUUAUUUUGUAGUGAGAAGGAUGGCUUUGGCGAGACUCUAAACGCUCUUCCUUUAAAAAUCUUAACCUCUGCCUCACUGAUCAGAAGGCUUUGUGGAGACCCAGCAAAGCCUGAUACUCUGUGACAGAAACCAUGCCCACUAUUGAUGCUCAUCUCUGUCAUCUUAAUGGCCUCUAGCAAGAAAGUCUUUAGGCAAGCUAGUGCUUGAAGCUUACCUAAAAUAUAAAGGUAUCCCUGGUGGGGAAAAACUAUGAAGUUUUGCCAAAAAAAAAAAAAAAA